GACCUAACCCCUAGUAUUCCACUAGGAUAUGGUCGAAAAUCGCGACAAACAUAAAAACCCCAUCAUUAGGGCGUUUGUCGCGUUACAUCUGGAAACGGGUGUAGGGUCUUCGGAUC
This 116-nucleotide small RNA is filed under the name unclassified sequences. RNAcentral's name for it is "LOOT RNA". It matches the Rfam family "LOOT RNA". From Rfam's summary of the family: Latescibacteria, OD1/Parcubacteria, OP11, TM7. Lineage (Microgenomates, aka OP11) The record is from Rfam by way of RNAcentral.